Long non-coding RNA from Carassius carassius (crucian carp), 353 nucleotides. RefSeq lists it as uncharacterized. Lineage: Eukaryota; Metazoa; Chordata; Actinopteri; Cypriniformes; Cyprinidae. The record is from RefSeq and is a predicted model, not a curated record. The transcript has 2 exons.
GUGUAUCUUUCAACUUGGUUUUUAUGUUUUAGCUUCAGAAAGCAAAAGGUGAGCAGAAACGCUUGAGAAGGAGAGAGACCAACCCUUACAGAAACUGCAUGAUCUUGAACCUCCCCAGCAGUCUUGCUGGUCCAGCCAAAGUGAUAGCUCCUCAACCAAACUUACAACAGGACAAAUUUCCCCUGGGCUGCAAUGAUGGAACAUUCCUAGCGAGGCAGAUUAAUGUUUGUGACUCAGAUUUGGAAGACACGGAAGGGUCCAUUUGAGGAGGAGAGGGGAGCCAUCUUCUGGAGUGAUCAUUAUCCACUGUGAAAAUCCAUACUGCACUAACUUAAUAAACUUUAAUACAUGCA